UGUAAUACAGUUUUCAAAUUACUUUAUGCUGUUACUUUAUUAUAUUCAUGUGAAAGUAUGUGAUCAAUUGUUGCUGCAUCAGAGAUAUUAGAGAUUCUUUAUUAGUUGGGCAUUCUUUGUGACCUUUUCUAUAAAAGAGUAAGUUCAUUAAAAUAUAAGAUGCAUGACAAAAAUAUAAGUGGAGAGGCUCAUUGUAGUUAACCUGUAUUAAGUAAUGUUUAAGGUAGGUGUUCAGAGUAAUACUUCUCUACAUUAUACUGAGAGAAAGAAAUUAUAAAUUAAAGUGUAUCAAUUAUUGUAUUUUACUAAUUUUACUGUUAUGUAAUAAAAUGCAAUAUAUUUAAAAUUGUUAGAUUAUGUGUGAACUUAAUUUAUAUUUUAUUUACUUAUUUAACUUUUCUUUUGAGAUGGAGUCUUGCUCUGUCACCCAGGCUGGAGGGCAGCAGUGCAAUCUCAGCACGAUGACUGCAACCUCUGCCUCCCAAGUUCAAGAAAUUCUCCUGCCUCAGCCUCCCGAGUAGUGGGGACUACAG
Molecule: small RNA, 533 nt
Filed under: Pongo abelii (Sumatran orangutan)
Lineage: Eukaryota; Metazoa; Chordata; Mammalia; Primates; Hominidae
Description: retained intron
Source: RNAcentral